Molecule: long non-coding RNA, 822 nt
Organism: Andrographis paniculata
Lineage: Eukaryota; Viridiplantae; Streptophyta; Magnoliopsida; Lamiales; Acanthaceae
Exons: 3
Source: RefSeq, a predicted model, not a curated record
UAUCCACCCCACCUUCACUUUUCGUUUCGAUUAGGGUUUCUAACCCUCGCGCACCUCUUCGCCGUCGUUGUUGCCCCUUCUUUUCCGGCUCAUUUCUCCGGUGAUGUCGUUCGCCCCACACUCCCUUGCAGCAACAGAGGGCCGUUCCCCCCUCGAGAGGAAUCGUUUAUGAUAUGUGGAUGAGUUUUUUGAGUUGUUUAGCGAUUUUGACGAUUUAUCCAAAUCGGUUGUCGUCGAUGCCUUUUCUGCCCUGAUUUCUCUGGAUCUACUACUUCGAACACUAAUCACAUGGUGCUCCAUUGAUUCGUCCAUGAUUCGGAGCCGGAGGUUGAUUCCAGCGUGGCCCUUGUUCAAGCCAAGUGAUCGCUGUUUCGGAAACCUUCUUCAUUGACCCAGGGUAGGAUCGAAGCGGCUCCAUUGAAUUGCUCUUCUACCCGUGAAGUUGUCGUCGAUAUGCUUUGUAAAUUCUGCCCUCUCGCCGUCGAGUCACUGGAGUAUCGUUUAAGAGGCCAAACUAAAAAUCAUUUUGGUAAAUGAUUUACUAUCCUAGAUGUUGGGUGGUUUGAUCUCUACAACUGAGGUGAAAAAUACAGGGAGAUGAUGUCAUUGUUGUUGUGUCACUGUCCGUGACCAGCAAGAGGUGCAUGUUUGUGAAAAAAAAUGGUGUAUUUGCAGCACUUAAGUGCAUUAUGCAUGUUUGUAUUAAACAUGUAUUAAACAUCUAUAUAUUUUAAAAUUAUGUCUGUUUGAAUUAAUUAUGUAUUUAGUAAUGUAUAUUUUAAAAUUAAAUUAUUGUUUGCAUUAAUUAAUAUUAGUGUACUU